This 497-nucleotide ribosomal RNA is filed under the name uncultured bacterium. RNAcentral describes it as "partial 16S ribosomal RNA". It matches the Rfam family "Bacterial small subunit ribosomal RNA", at positions 28 to 507 of the family's 1533-position model. The record is from RNAcentral.
GACGAACGCUGGCGGCGUGCCUAAUACAUGCAAGUAGAACGCUGAAGAGAGGAGCUUGCUCUUCUUGGAUGAGUUGCGAACGGGUGAGUAACGCGUAGGAAACCUGCCUUGUAGCGGGGGAUAACUAUUGGAAACGAUAGCUAAUACCGCAUAACAAUGGAUGACACAUGUCAUUUAUUUGAAAGGGGCAAUUGCUCCACUACAAGAUGGAACUGCGUUGUAUUAGCUAGUAGGUGAGGUAAUGGCUCACCUAGGCGACGAUACAUAGCCGACCUGAGAGGGUGAUCGGCCACACUGGGACUGAGACACGGCCCAGACUCCUACGGGAGGCAGCAGUAGGGAAUCUUCGGCAAUGGGGGCAACCCUGACCGAGCAACGCCGCGUGAGUGAAGAAGGUUUUCGGAUCGUAAAGCUCUGUUGUAAGUCAAGAACGGGUGUGAGAGUGGAAAGUUCACACUGUGACGGUAGCUUACCAGAAAGGGACGGCUAACUACGUG